This 467-nucleotide ribosomal RNA is filed under the name uncultured bacterium. RNAcentral's name for it is "partial 16S ribosomal RNA". It matches the Rfam family "Bacterial small subunit ribosomal RNA", at positions 29 to 507 of the family's 1533-position model. The record is from RNAcentral.
ACGAACGCUGGCGGCGUGCUUAACCCAUGCAAGUCGAACGGAAAGGCCCUGCUUUUGUGGGGUGCUCGAGUGGCGAACGGGUGAGUAACACGUGAGUAACCUGCCCUUGACUUUGGGAUAACUUCAGGAAACUGGGGCUAAUACCGGAUAGGAGCUCCUGCUGCUUGGUGGGGGUUGGAAAGUUUCGGCGGUUGGGGAUGGACUCGCGGCUUAUCAGCUUGUUGGUGGGGUAGUGGCUUACCAAGGCUUUGACGGGUAGCCGGCCUGAGAGGGUGACCGGCCACAUUGGGACUGAGAUACGGCCCAGACUCCUACGGGAGGCAGCAGUGGGGAAUAUUGCACAAUGGGCGGAAGCCUGAUGCAGCAACGCCGCGUGCGGGAUGACGGCCUUCGGGUUGUAAACCGCUUUCGCCUGUGACGAAGCGUGAGUGACGGUAAUGGGUAAAGAAGCACCGGCUAACUACGUG